UUCUGAGUAUUUAAGAAUAUAUUUAGUGUAAAGCGGAUUAUUUUUUUCGUUUGGAGUUAUAUUCUGUUUGUGUAUAUGCGGUUCAGUUGACUGUUGAAUAAAAACUUUACUCAAUCGCGUAAAAUGCUAAAUAUUUUUUCUUUUGUAAUAAACAUGACGUGAGAGAAAUUAUAUUCGCGGUACAAAUUUGGAAACGUGUUAAAAACAGUGUUUGCUUAGGGGAUAGGGAUAGGGAUAGGCCCUUAUCCCCCCUUUAUACACAAACGCUAAUUCUUUAUCCGAACAGUAGUUGUCGGUUAUCUAUAAUAACUAGUUAUAACUAUCCCCACCAACACCUCCAUUUUCUAUAUAAAACUACAUAAUAUUUUUCUUAUUCCAUAUUAUCUAUCUAAACGUUAUUUUUCUUAUCUCCGGAAACAACCCAAUUUUCAUCCAAACGCUAUUUUUCUUAUCCUCAUACUUGUACCUAUCCUUAUAAUAACUAGUUCUUGCUUAUACCCGAACCAAACGGUACCUAAGAGUUUGGGGAUUCAUUCGUGUGUAUACAGUUCAGUUGAGUGUUGAAUCAAAAUUUUACUCACCGUGUGAAAUGCUGAAUAUUUUUUCUUUUGUAAUAAAUAUGAUGUGAGGGGAAUUAUAUUUGUGACAAAAAUUUGGAAACGUGUUAAGAGUUUGGGGAUU
This 681-nucleotide long non-coding RNA is filed under the name Ananas comosus (pineapple). RNAcentral describes it as "long non-coding RNA (ACOM_LNC014113)". The record is from RNAcentral. Lineage: Eukaryota; Viridiplantae; Streptophyta; Magnoliopsida; Poales; Bromeliaceae.